Molecule: unclassified non-coding RNA, 354 nt
Filed under: soil metagenome
Description: partial contains 5.8S ribosomal RNA, internal transcribed spacer 2, and large subunit ribosomal RNA
Rfam family: 5.8S ribosomal RNA (bases 1-120)
Source: RNAcentral
GAUGAAGAACGUAGCGAAAUGCGAUAAGUAGUGUGAAUUGCAGAAUGCAGUGAAUCAUCGAAUCUUUGAACGCACAUUGCGCCUCCUGGUAUUCCGGGAGGCAUGCCUGUUCGAGCGUCAUUAAAAUCACUCAAGCUUAGGUUUACCUAUUGCUUGGUCUUGGAGAUGGAAGCCAAUUCAUUGGAAUCCUCUUCGAAAUCCAAUGGCGAAGACCCUUGCUCUCCCAAGUGUAGUAAUAACUUAUGUCACUGAAGGAAGCGAGAAAUCUUCCGCCGUAACCCCCAUAUUUUCUAUGAUUGACCUCGGAUCAGGUAGGGAUACCCGCUGAACUUAAGCAUAUCAAUAAGCGGAGGA